RNAcentral lists this ribosomal RNA (396 nucleotides) under uncultured bacterium. RNAcentral's name for it is "bacterial SSU rRNA". It matches the Rfam family "Bacterial small subunit ribosomal RNA", at positions 32 to 418 of the family's 1533-position model. The record is from RNAcentral.
AAUCAACGCUGGCGGCGUGCCUCAGACAUGCAAGUCGAACGAUUAAAGCUCUCUUCGGAGAGUGUAUAGAGUGGCGCACGGGUGAGUAACACGUAAGUAAUCUACCUUUGAGUGGGGAAUAACAGUCGGAAACGGCUGCUGAUACCGCAUAACGCAGCGGCACCGCAAGGUGACAGUUGUUAAAGGAGCAAUCCGCUUAAAGAGGAGCUUGCGGCAGAUUAGCUUGUUGGUAAGGUAACGGCUUACCAAGGCUACGAUCUGUAUCCGGUCUAAGAGGACGGUCGGACACACUGACACUGAAUAACGGGUCAGACUCCUACGGGAGGCAGCAGUCGGGAAUUUUGGGCAAUGGGCGAAAGCCUGACCCAGCAACGCCGCGUGAAGGAUGAAGUAUUU